UGGUUGUCUAUGCUCCAGUUGCAGAUGGCUCAGCUCUCCUGGCUGCUGCUUCCCUCUGCCAGGGCUGAGUGGCCAUUUAUCAUCUCAGAAAACUUCUCCAGGCAGCUGGCGGUGGAGCGCUGGGUCUAUCCACCUCUGUGUUUACAGAGCUGGGCGGACGUCUGCCUCUAGUCAACUCCCUCUGCUCCUCUCCCAAAUGAACAUUCCUGACAUUUGACUUGGCGGGAGUGUUUUAGGAGGCCCAAGUCCACCUUGUGUAAACAUGCACAGGCUUCUUGGUGUGAAUGAUCGCUCCUUACAAGAAAUGCGUCAGUCCUGUUGCCCAACUCACUCAGCCCCAGCGUCUGACAUCUUUGUGGUUUGUUUUUUUUUCCUCUGGACUUCUGGAUCCACAGGGGGAUCUUUUCAACCUGGAACCUGGGAUGGAACUCCCCUGCCUUAUUGUGCUGAGAAGAGCUGUAUUGGGGAGCCAUUGUUAAAUAUUUGAAGCUGUUUACAACUGGGUAGUGAUAUAGGGUGGUGGACAGAAAGGAUAUUGUUUAGUCAUGAUCCCUAAAAUGGUCUGCAAAGAAGUGUAACUGACAGAAAAACAAAAACAAACAAACACCCAGAGUGCUCCUCUUCUAAGGAAACUGCUAUUUCAGCCUGCACCAGAUGUGUCCUAGUUUUCCCUGAUGGAUGACAAAUCCCAGAGUCACCUUCCUGACUAAUGCAUCUGACUUAUUCAUCAUGCUUUGCUCACUUAGGAAUGUCACCUAGGCCUCUAACACCUGAAUUAAUCCUCCGAUGAAAAUGAAAUCUUAAAAAUUAAACAGGAAACAGGUAACACUGAGACAGUGAAUAUCUAACUCUGGUGGUGCAGAAUACAGAACUGAUUUAGUCUUUCACAAACCAGAUGUUAUUGACACAGACCAACAGUGAUGAUAAGUGGCAGGCGUGAAACGUUUAUAUCUGCACGAGUCUUUACCAGAAUAUCCAGAACUCUAGAAGGAGUCAGUGUCUAUCUAAUCACAAUUCUUUCUGUGGGUUAUCUCUGAGGGUUAGUGCCUGUAUUACUUCUCUGCUCCUGUGGCCAUUUUUUCUUUCUCUUCUUCCCCUUCCUCUUCCUCCUCCUCUUCUCCUCCUUCUCCUCCUCCUUCUUCUUAUUCUCUUUCUCCUUCUUCUCCUUUUUUGAUAAUGAAGUAGAUAGAGAAGGAGAGAGAGGUACCUGCAUCACUGCUCCACCACUUAUGAAACUCUCCCCCGUAGGUGGGAACUGGAAGGUUUGAACCCCUGGUAGUGGCACAUGGUAAUGUGGGAGCUCCACCUUGUGUGCCAACACCUAGAUCCCCAAGCUCAAUUUUCUUUUGCCAUGUGCAUUUGUUAGUUACUGGGCAUGUUCAGUCCCACCCCCCCCCCAUUUAUUUAUUUCACAAAGAAUAAAGUUCACAUUACAAAAGUAAGGUUGUGAACUGGACAAGAGCUCAACUGGUAGCUCACAGGACUUUCAUGUGUGAGGGUCCCAGUUUGAGCUCCAGCACUGCAUAUUUCCUCUCUCUCUCUUUCUCUUUCUCUCUCUCUCCAAAACCCUCUGUCUAAUUUGAAAUUAAUGUUUAAAUUAAGAUAGAGCAAAGUUCAAGUUUUUAUCUUCAUGAGUCAGUGCAAUUGCACCGUUUCUGACUAUGUUUUGAAAUAGCUUCAGAUUUCAGUGUGAAACAGUGCCCUGUGUUCCCAUUACCCUGAGCCCAGCUCCUCUGACUGCAGCAUCUUGCAUAAGAAUCAAAAUUCAAUCAGCAAACCGAUGUGUUCUUACUGAGGCAUGAGUAGUUACUAAGCCACCUCCAAUGCAGGUAGAUUUUAUACUGAUGUGCACUGUCUGGCUCGCCAAUCAGUCCAGGAUGUCACACUGUUCUUCCAUCAUUUCAAUGUCCUAUUUGAGUAUUUUCUUACUGUCUGCUAUGCUUAUGUUUUAUUUUAAUUUUUAUUUAAUUAUUUAUUACAUUUUUUGGUAGAGACAGAGAGGAAUUGAGAGGGGAGGGAGAGAUAGAGAGGGAGAGAGAAAGAGACACCUGAAGCCCUGAUUCACAGCUCCUGAAGCUUCUCCUCUUGCAGGUGGGGACUGAGGACUGGGACCCAGGUUCUUGUACAAAAUAAAAACCAUUUAAUGCAAUUACUUUUGAAUUUGGAAGAAGAAAAAGAAACUAAAAUAUAGUCAAAGCUAUUGAAUUUCAGGUAAUUUAUUAAGCUCAUUUAUUAUUAUGUAUGAGGACCAGAGUUUAAGCCUCUGCUCCCCACCUGCAGGGGGUAACACUUAAUGAGCAGUGAAGCAGGUCUGCAGGUAUUUUUCUGUUUCUCUCCUUCUCUAUCUCCCCUUCCUCUCUCAAUUUCUAUCUGUCCUAUCAAAUUAAAAGAUAUGACCUAAGUCAUUACUCUAAAGCAGGAAAAGAUCUUAGAUAAGAUUUUGAUGCUCAUCAGGUAGAGUUCUGUUUGCUGCCUAAUGAACCACGCAGAAACUUUGUGGCUGAAAAUAAAUGCAAUUUAUCCCAGUCAACGAGGCUACAAGUGCAUGGGUUUAGCUAGCCCGGGUUAACAAUUUUGUUGAAUUGUUGAAUUUCUAUACUCUGGACAUGAGGCCUGGCUAGUCUGGGCUAGCUUCAUGCAGACAUGUGGUAGAUGGUUACCUCCAUGUCUGAGGCCCUCAGGGGGACACCCAGUUGUGUGACCACUCACCUUCUGCAGGAUAAUCCAGACUUGCUCACACAGUGGUAGCUGAGUUUCAGAAGAGAAGCUGGGAGAAUGCAAGUCCUCCUAAAACUUGGAUUCAGAACCUGCAGAAUAUGCCAUUGUUCAUCGCAAAUGUGGAGACCCUUCACGUCCAGGUCUGGCUGUCCAAGAGUCCAGGACACUGGUGGUGGUUACACAUGUGUCAUGUUUUCAUUGUAGCACCAUUCUUUCAUUCUGCAAAUGUAAGCAUUUUACUGGGAGCUGUUUCCCCCAUUUGUUUUUGAAGGUGUUUUUUUUUUUUUUAACACUUGUUUAUUUUGCCUCUAUAGUCACCAAUCAUGUAUUCACUGGAUAUUGUUUAACUUUCACACAUGUCUGUAUUCUUCCUUACAAUCUUUAUUUACUUCUUUUUGUUGCUACCAGGGUUAUUGCUGGCACUCAGUGUCUGUACAAUGAAUUCACCACUCUCAGCAGUCAUCUUUCCCCUAUUUUUUCCCUUUAUUGAUAGAACAGAAAUUAAUAGUGGAGAGGGAGAGAAGGAGAAAAAAAAAAGAGAGAGACAUCAGAAGCACUUGCUUUACCACCUCUGCAGGUGGGGACUGGGGACUUAAAUCCGGGUCCUUGCAAAUAGUAACAUUGGUGUUCAACCAGGUCCACCACCACCAGGCCCCAAAAUCUUAUAAAUUUUUUUUAAUGCUGUUAUAUAUGCUUAGAGUGUUUCCCCAGAUAUUGCAGAUAUGAAUCAGUUAUGUUAUUCAGAUUUCAAAGAAAAUUCACAUGAUCAGACAGAUCUUCCUGGAAGAGUGUUUUGCUUUCUUUGUAAACUAUAUAAAUUUAUUCUCUGAUUUUUUUCUAUACCCUUAUCAUAGACUUUGAGCUUUAUAAGGACAAAGAUAUUACUAUCUUAAUCACUGCUGACACCCCAGCUCCCAGAAGAACUUCUAACAAGUCAGGGAUAGUCAGUAAUGAUUUGUUAAGUGGAUGAGUGAACAGUCUUGUCUAUUUUUUUCUUUAUUGGGGGGUUAAUGGUUUACAGUUGACAAUAUAGUAGUUGGUAAAUGUUCCAGGACCUGAACAUUCCCCCUCUGCCCCCCUUCCGUUCUUAUUUUUCAACUUCUUUCUGUGAGUGAGAUCAUUCCAUAUUCAUCCUUCUCUUUCUGGCUCAUCUCACUUAACGUGAUUCCUUCAAGCUCCAUCCAAGAUGAGGUGAAGAAGGUGAAUGAAUUCACUAUUUUUAAUAGCUUAUUAGUCAGUCCUGUCCAUUUUAAGACAGACUUUCACAGUCUGGACUUCUUCUUAGAUGUUUUGUUUAUUUUUUCACCUCAAUUUAUGUCGUACAGUUUCUUUGAAGUCAGCGAGGGAGAGCUCACUGUCAAGACUCUGUUUCUUGGGAAAAUGAAGUGUCUUCUUUAUUCUUCUUUGCCUUAUAUUGUUUUCUUCUUUGUGUGUUUCCCCCAUUUUAAAGCAGGCUUCUGGUCACUACUCAUGUUAGAUACUUGCAGAAAGAGGCCAUAGAUGGAGUAAAACUGAGGAGGGUGAAGGUAAACUCAAACAGAGGGCAUGACUUUUCCCAACCUGUCACCAAACUUCUUAGCUUUCUCAGCCUCUUCAACAGAUGCCAUCAUUAACAUGCUGGCAUUUGAGAGGUGGAUCACUUGGGAAAUGUGUUCUCUCUCAUGUUCUCCAUUUCAUGUCCACUCUGCUUGGUUCCAUAGCUGUGAGGGUAGACAGCAGAUACAACUGUGUGUCACCUCCCCCAUCUCUAGCAUGUUCUGUGCUGUCAUCUUGGGCUUCAGUGAAGACUGCCUUCCUCUGCAGUGGCCUUCUGUGGACCCCCAGAUCUGACAUCAUAAGAGUGACUCUAAGGUGGGCAUUUCAGGGCAGCCCCACUGGCUUGGGGGGAAGUGUCCUUUUGCUGGUGGCCUGCGGAUGGGUUAUUGCUCAUUGUCUUUCCUCAUAUGGAUCCAGGUUUCACAGCACUGGCUGGUCAGCCACAUAGUUUGUGGCUUCAGAGUGCAGUCACAUCCUGCUUUGAGGGUUGGCAAGCGAGGUUUGUCUCCGUAUUUUUGUUACUGCUGAGCUCUUGGAGGAAAGGGAGGGCAGGGCCAGGCAUCUGGAACACCGUGACCCUCACCAAGCUCCCCUGUGGCUACUCCUUGCCCUCUGCACAUGCUGUCCUGCAGAGCAUGGGGCCCACCCAGUGCCCGGCACCCACCCAACAGGAGACAGGGCCCAAUUCUCAGUGUCUGGACCCAGCCUACACUGCUACUGUGACCCCACUACUCUCCCUUCUUUGCUCUGUAUCCUGCCACAGCUCAGUCUCUGCUGGCUUCUGGUUUUGUGUUAUUUUGGCUUUAGCCUUAAUAAUGGGCUUUCUUCUCCCUACAGGACAGCGAUGCUAUGUUCUCUCUGUGUUAAGAGUUUUCUUUUCUUUUCUUUUUCUUUUAAUAUUUAUUUAUUUAUUUCCCCUUAGUUGCCCUUUGUUGUUUUAUUUUUGUAGUUAUUAUUACUGUUUUUAUUGAUGCUGUCAUUGUUGGAUAGGACAGAAAGAAAUGGAGAGAGUAGGAGAAGAUGGAGGGGGAGAGAAAGAUAGACACCUGCAGACCUGCUUCACCACCUAUGAAGCGACUCUCCUGCAGGUGGGGAGCUGGAGGCUCGAACCAGGAUCCUUGCUCCAGACCUUGUGCUUUGCGCCAUGUGCACUUAACCUGCUAUGCUACCACCAGACUCCCUUAAGAGGUUUCUAGCCUUUGUCUUCCUCACUUCUCUAGUAGAGCUAUAGCCACUCCCACAACAGUCACUGCUUCUGCUGAGAGAAUGCCCACUUUACACCAGCAGUAGUGCCCAUGUUCCCUGACCUCAAUGACCCCGCAACAUCACUGUCAUCCCUAGCAAUGUGCAUGGACACACAUGAUAUGUGGCCUUCUCCUAAAACAGACUGCAGAGUUGUGCUCAGACAGCACUAUGUUGGCUCAAGAGUUUGGGAAGGUACCCUCAGGUGAUUGAGUCCUUCAAUUCUAUGCCAAGGUUUAGAGAGAGGCCCUGUGACCAGAGACCUGGGGUUUGCAGACCAGGAAGAGGAAUCACAGAGAAGCUACACACUGACUCAGGACAAUCCCCACAGGCUUGCCUCCCUGCUGUUUAGCAUACACACCCAGUUCCUCUCUGCUCAGGAUGUUUCCAGAGUGAUGCUCCCCCAAGCCUGUUUCCCCACCUGAGCCCUGGCAGCUCCCCUAAGCAUUCUGCUCCAACCAUCUGGGACCCACCACCAACACCGCCACAACUCUGGGCUUGGAGAACUCACCUAGUACAGAACAAGUCUCAUCAAGCAUGAAGCCCUGGGUUUGAGCUCCAGCAUGACAUGGGAACAGUCUGAACAGCAACAAGGGGAUCUCCUAGGAUGGUGGAGUGGUGCUGUGACAUUUCUCCUCUUUGUGUCUCUCCCUCUUCUUAUAAAACAAAGAAUAAAAAUGUUGACCUGGGUGAUGCACAAGAUCCCAGCUGUUGCA
Long non-coding RNA from Erinaceus europaeus (western European hedgehog), 6212 nucleotides. RefSeq lists it as uncharacterized. The transcript has 2 exons. The record is from RefSeq and is a predicted model, not a curated record. Lineage: Eukaryota; Metazoa; Chordata; Mammalia; Eulipotyphla; Erinaceidae.